This 243-nucleotide long non-coding RNA is filed under the name Ananas comosus (pineapple). RNAcentral describes it as "long non-coding RNA (ACOM_LNC042532)". Lineage: Eukaryota; Viridiplantae; Streptophyta; Magnoliopsida; Poales; Bromeliaceae. The record is from RNAcentral.
CGAAGAGAGAGAGGGAGAGAAAGGAGGGAUGAGAGAGAUAAAAAGAUGAGGGUCAAAUAGAGAGAAGGAAGAUAGAGAGCAUUGAGUGAGGGGAGAAGAGAGAGGGAGGGGGGCUAGCUGUAGAAAGUUGGGUAGAGAGAGGAGGGUUGAAUAGAGAGAGAAGGAAGAGAGAGAGAGAGGAUCUGAUGCGGAGAAAGAGAGAUUAGCUGGAGAGGGGGGAAAAGAGAGAGUAACUGGAGAGGG